UCGCUUGGUGCAGGUCGGGUC
This 21-nucleotide microRNA is filed under the name Asparagus officinalis (garden asparagus). RNAcentral describes it as "aof-miR168b". Its record names the gene aof-miR168b. Lineage: Eukaryota; Viridiplantae; Streptophyta; Magnoliopsida; Asparagales; Asparagaceae. The record is from miRBase by way of RNAcentral.